GACGAACGCUGGCGGCGUGCUUAACACAUGCAAGUCGAGCGGUAAGGCCUUUCGGGGUACACGAGCGGCGAACGGGUGAGUAACACGUGGGUGAUCUGCCCUGCACUUCGGGAUAAGCCUGGGAAACUGGGUCUAAUACCGGAUAUGACCUCAGGUUGCAUGACUUGGGGUGGAAAGAUUUAUCGGUGCAGGAUGGGCCCGCGGCCUAUCAGCUUGUUGGUGGGGUAAUGGCCUACCAAGGCGACGACGGGUAGCCGACCUGAGAGGGUGACCGGCCACACUGGGACUGAGACACGGCCCAGACUCCUACGGGAGGCAGCAGUGGGGAAUAUUGCACAAUGGGCGAAAGCCUGAUGCAGCGACGCCGCGUGAGGGAUGACGGCCU
RNAcentral lists this ribosomal RNA (385 nucleotides) under uncultured bacterium. Its description in RNAcentral is "bacterial SSU rRNA". It matches the Rfam family "Bacterial small subunit ribosomal RNA", at positions 28 to 417 of the family's 1533-position model. The record is from RNAcentral.